CCGUCCUGCUAGGGGUGCGCGUCAGCGCUGAGAGGCGGUAACUCCCCGCCAACCCUGAAGACACCUGAUCCGGGUCAUACCGGCGGAGGGAAGCAGUGACGAUCUCCC
This is a non-coding RNA of Chloroflexi bacterium 13_1_40CM_2_70_6, 108 nucleotides long. Lineage: Bacteria; Bacillati; Chloroflexota. The record is from Rfam.